UAGAACUGACUUCCAACCGGAUAUUACCGAGAAUCAGGGGUCAGGAGUUCUCUCUUACAGCCAUCUUGGAUAUAACGUCCUGAGUUGCAAACAUGCCUGGCGAAGCCACAGAAACGGUCCCAGUCACCGAGCAGGAGAUGCAGCAGCCUCAAGCAGAGACUGCGAAUAAGACAGUGUCUUUGGAGAGUCCCAUGGCCUCAGAAAGCACUGUUUUGACUCAAGAGCUUGGCUCCCAAGAAGUAGCCAGUAUUGAGACUAUGGAGGAGCAACCAAAUGGUGUAGCUGUAACUCAAGAAAUCACCCAGCAAAUGCAAGUUUCCAGGCCUGAAGAAACUCCUGCCUCAGUGGAAGGUACUAAUGCUGCACCAGCAGGAAUGCCAGACGAUCGUGACGCAGUUCCUAACAACCAGGCUGAGAGUCAGGAGUUGGUGGUUGUUACAGAAGAAGUAAUCGGCCAUGAGAUUGGGCAUAUUUCAGCUGAAGUUAUGGGCUCCGGAGAAGAUCCAGCACCCAUGGCAGAAAACCAGUCUGACGAUUCAAAAAAAAUUGCUCUUGAAGUUCUUCCUACCACUGAAGAUGGGAAGGCUAGUGAUGUCCCAGAGACUGGGGAAGACAUCCAGAAGAAUUCUACCCUAGAAAUGGCUAAUGAUGAACCUCAAAUAUUUCCUGGUGAUGAAAAAGUUGAUGCUGCUACCCAAAACAAAACCUUGAAGAAAAACAACCUGUGCUACUUCUUUCUAAAGCCACUGAGUCAAAAGGGCCCUCAAAAUGUGAAGGUCCAUCUCUUUCCACACGCCACCUGUCAGGAUCUGGCACAGAGUCGGACAGUGAUGACUCUGUUCCAGAGCUGGAGGAACAGGACUCUGCUCAGACACAGACACAGCAAGCUCAGCUUGCAGCAGCAGCUGAAAUAGAUGAGGAACCAGUGAGCAAAGCCAAACAGAGCCGCAGUGAGAAGAAGGCACGAAAGGCAAUGUCAAAGCUUGGUCUCAGGCAGGUAACAGGAGUUACCAGGGUCACCAUUCGUAAGUCAAAGAACAUCUUGUUCGUCAUCACCAAACCAGACGUCUACAAGAGCCCCGCAUCAGACACAUACAUCGUC
Sphaeramia orbicularis (orbiculate cardinalfish) is the source of this 1102-nucleotide RNA transcript. It is a transcript of the gene named nascent polypeptide-associated complex subunit alpha, with no coding region annotated. The transcript is spliced from 6 exons. Lineage: Eukaryota; Metazoa; Chordata; Actinopteri; Kurtiformes; Apogonidae. The record is from RefSeq and is a predicted model, not a curated record.